Molecule: ribosomal RNA, 484 nt
Filed under: uncultured bacterium
Lineage: Bacteria
Description: bacterial SSU rRNA
Rfam family: Bacterial small subunit ribosomal RNA
Source: RNAcentral
GACGAACGCUGGCGGCGUGCCUAACACAUGCAAGUCGAACGAAGCAUUUAAGUGAAUCCCUUCGGGGUGAAGCUUUUAUGACUUAGUGGCGGACGGGUGAGUAACGCGUGAGUAACCUGCCUUUCAGAGGGGGACAACAGUUGGAAACGACUGCUAAUACCGCAUAACACAUUUUAGGGGCAUCCCUUUAAUGUCAAAGAUUUAUCGCUGAAAGAUGGGCUCGCGUCUGAUUAGCUAGUUGGUGGGGUAACGGCCUACCAAGGCGACGAUCAGUAGCCGGACUGAGAGGUUGAUCGGCCACAUUGGGACUGAGAUACGGCCCAGACUCCUACGGGAGGCAGCAGUGGGGAAUAUUGCACAAUGGGGGAAACCCUGAUGCAGCGACGCCGCGUGGAGGAAGAAGGUCUUCGGAUUGUAAACUCCUGUUGUCAAGGACGAGUAAUGACGGUACUUGACAAGAAAGCCACGGCUAACUACGUGCCAG